This 505-nucleotide ribosomal RNA is filed under the name uncultured bacterium. RNAcentral describes it as "partial 16S ribosomal RNA". It matches the Rfam family "Bacterial small subunit ribosomal RNA", at positions 28 to 507 of the family's 1533-position model. The record is from RNAcentral.
GACGAACGCUGGCGGCGUGCCUAAUUCAUGCAAGUAGAACGCACAGUUUAUACCGUAGCUUGCUACACCAUAGACUGUGAGUUGCGAACGGGUGAGUAACGCGUAGGUAACCUGCCUGGUAGCGGGGGAUAACUAUUGGAAACGAUAGCUAAUACCGCAUAAUAUUAAUUAUUGCAUGAUAAUUAAUUGAAAGGUGCAAUUGCACCACUACCAGAUGGACCUGCGUUGUAUUAGCUAGUAGGUGAGGUAACGGCUCACCUAGGCGACGAUACAUAGCCGACCUGAGAGGGUGAUCGGCCACACUGGGACUGAGACACGGCCCAGACUCCUACGGGAGGCAGCAGUAGGGAAUCUUCGGCAAUGGACGAAAGUCUGACCGAGCAACGCCGCGUGAGUGAAGAAGGUUUUCGGAUCGUAAAGCUCUGUUGUAAGAGAAGAACGGGUGUGAGAGUGGAAAGUUCACACUGUGACGGUAUCUUACCAGAAAGGGACGGCUAACUACGUG